MicroRNA precursor from Homo sapiens (human), 83 nucleotides. It matches the Rfam family "mir-1299 microRNA precursor family". Lineage: Eukaryota; Metazoa; Chordata; Mammalia; Primates; Hominidae. The record is from Rfam.
CCUCGCAGCAAUGUUCUGGAAUCCUAUGUGAGGGAGAAACAUUCAGACCCUCGCAGCAGUGUUCUGGAAUCCUAUGUGAGGGA